This 894-nucleotide ribosomal RNA is filed under the name Triticum aestivum (bread wheat). Its description in RNAcentral is "partial small subunit ribosomal RNA". Lineage: Eukaryota; Viridiplantae; Streptophyta; Magnoliopsida; Poales; Poaceae. The record is from RNAcentral.
AUGCAUGAUCUUGAGGACAAUACUGUUCCAGAGAUACAAAGAACCAACCUUGCAAAUGUUGUUCUUACAAUUAAGAGUCUUGGUAUUCAUGACUUGGUUAAUUUUGAUUUUAUGGACCCACCUCCUUCAGAGGCCUUGUUGAAGGCCCUGGAACAACUUUUUGCUCUUAGUGCACUCAACAGUCGUGGAGAGUUGACCAAGACUGGAAGACGAAUGGCAGAGUUUCCACUAGAUCCUAUGCUGUCAAAGAUGAUAGUAGCUUCAGAGAAAUAUAAGUGUUCUGAUGAGGUCAUGUCCAUUGCGUCAAUGCUGUCGAUCGGCAAUUCUAUAUUCUACCGUCCGAAGGACAAACAGGUUCAUGCAGAUAAUGCAAGGUUGAACUUCCACACUGGGAACGUUGGGGACCACAUAGCAUUGAUCAAUGUCUAUAACUCAUGGAGAGAAACGGACUUCUCGACUCAAUGGUGUUAUGAAAAUUAUAUCCAGGUCCGCAGCAUGAAGAGAGCAAGAGACAUUCGAGAUCAACUGGAGGGACUUAUGGAGAGAGUUGAGAUUGAGGUCUGUUCAAAUGCCAGUGACUUGGAUGCUAUUAAAAAGGCUAUAACAUCCGGUUUCUUCCACCAUUCUGCACGGUUGCAGAAGAAUGGUUCAUAUAGAACUGUCAAGAACCCUCAGACGGUCUUUAUCCACCCUAGUUCAGGAUUAGCACAGCUACUUCCUCGUUGGGUAAUAUACCACGAACUAGUUCUCGCGACAAAAGAGUACAUGCGCCAGGUGACGGAACUGAAGCCCGAAUGGCUGGUGGAAAUUGCUCCGCACUACUACCAACUAAAAGAUGUGGACGACGCUGGUUCAAAGAAGCUGCCCAAGGGCCAAGGACGAGCUGCAUUGUAG